AACGAACGCUGGCGGCAUGCCUAACACAUGCAAGUCGAACGAGACCUUUGGGUCUAGUGGCGCACGGGUGCGUAACGCGUGGGAAUCUGCCCUUGGGUUCGGAAUAACAGUGAGAAAUUGCUGCUAAUACCGGAUGAUGUCUUCGGACCAAAGAUUUAUCGCCCAGGGAUGAGCCCGCGUAGGAUUAGCUAGUUGGUGGGGUAAUGGCCUACCAAGGCGACGAUCCUUAGCUGGUCUGAGAGGAUGAUCAGCCACACUGGGACUGAGACACGGCCCAGACUCCUACGGGAGGCAGCAGUGGGGAAUAUUGGACAAUGGGCGCAAGCAUGAUCCAGCAAGGCCGGGUGAGUGAUGAAGGCCUUAGGGUUGUAAAGCUCUUUUACCAGGGAUGAUAAUGACGGUACCUGGAGAAUAAGCUCCGGCUAACUCCGUG
This 433-nucleotide ribosomal RNA is filed under the name uncultured bacterium. RNAcentral's name for it is "partial 16S ribosomal RNA". It matches the Rfam family "Bacterial small subunit ribosomal RNA", at positions 29 to 507 of the family's 1533-position model. The record is from RNAcentral.